AGAUACUGAGGACUCACCAAUCAUGAGUUCAGCAAACAGCAGAAAAAAAGCACAAAAAGCAUCGCAGCAAAAUGAGAUGUCAAAGUUCAUCACAGAUGCCAGAGGAAAUUGUUAUGUAUUUUGGUGCUCCGCUGGCGAACCUGACCGAUAACCCCCUUAGUUUUUGGAAGGAGUAUGAAAGAACAUUCCCCCGCUCUAUCCAAAGUGGCGAGGAAAUACUUGUUAACCAUGGCCACUUUGGCUCCAUAAGAGUGGCUUUUCUCCAAGGCUGAAUAAAUCAAAGCAAGACACGGAACAGAUUAAAGGGGAAGAUGCUGUCCAAGUUAUUCUUUUUACAGAAUGCAGGGCUCUUAUUGUGGAUAGUUCAACUGUCCUGAAGUUUUACCCACAUCACCUACUGUAUGUAAUUUUUUUCAUUUAUUCCUCCAUGGAGAAUAUACAUAUCAGCAUGGGAGACAGACAUUCAGAUUCUCUGUUCUGACAGAUAAGAGCUGGAGACCCUAUACAGUGGAUAUUAAACUUCUUGAAGGAUCAGAAUUUUCCCAGGAUUCUUCACUCCAGAGUGGUUUAUAGUUUGCUCUGACAGAAACACUCUAUAAAACUUGUAGUGGUCCUCUUUUUUUUCGUAGAAGUUUGUACACAUCCUAUAUACAGUAUCUAGAGCACAAGUGAGACUGUAACAGAAAGCAUUCCUUCUGAGGAUGAUGUUGGGACUCAAUGUUACAUCUUCUUAGCAUUUAGAUUGAUUUUCACAGAACAUAAGAGGAAAAAUCUCUUGUGUGUUUUGAGCAAGAUGCCACAUGGACCCAAGCACUGAUGCCAAUCAGAUUUCAACUGACUUGAAAAGCAAAUUGAUAUGGGUCCCAUGUUCAAAGAAUCUUGCAAUUGCACAUACCUCAGAUAGACCAGUAUCUUAUUUUGUAUAACAUCCAAGGCUCAUCAUUUUUCAUUACCUAUCUUAUUUGUUAGUGUUAAUAUAGUUUAUGUACCCCAUGUAUUUUAUUAUAA
Molecule: long non-coding RNA, 1008 nt
Organism: Pseudophryne corroboree (corroboree frog)
Lineage: Eukaryota; Metazoa; Chordata; Amphibia; Anura; Myobatrachidae
Exons: 3
Source: RefSeq, a predicted model, not a curated record